RNAcentral lists this ribosomal RNA (468 nucleotides) under uncultured bacterium. RNAcentral's name for it is "partial 16S ribosomal RNA". It matches the Rfam family "Bacterial small subunit ribosomal RNA", at positions 28 to 507 of the family's 1533-position model. The record is from RNAcentral.
GACGAACGCUGGCGGCGUGCUUAACACAUGCAAGUCGAACGGUAAGGCCCUGCUUUUGUGGGGUGCUCGAGUGGCGAACGGGUGAGUAACACGUGAGUAACCUGCCCUUGACUUUGGGAUAACUUCAGGAAACUGGGGCUAAUACCGGAUAGGAGCUCCUGCUGCAUGGUGGGGGUUGGAAAGUUUCGGCGGUUGGGGAUGGACUCGCGGCUUAUCAGCUUGUUGGUGGGGUAGUGGCUUACCAAGGCUUUGACGGGUAGCCGGCCUGAGAGGGUGACCGGCCACAUUGGGACUGAGAUACGGCCCAGACUCCUACGGGAGGCAGCAGUGGGGAAUAUUGCACAAUAGGCGGAAGCCUGAUGCAGCAACGCCGCGUGCGGGAUGACGGCCUUCGGGUUGUAAACCGCUUUCGCCUGUGACGAAGCGUGAGUGACGGUAAUGGGUAAAGAAGCACCGGCUAACUACGUG